AUACAAACCAAUCCAGACACACAGGGACUAACAAGGAUAUGAACACCAGCAGAUGAAGAUCAUCAGUACCAUCUUGGAGGCUGGCUACCACAACAGUUAAAGAACUCCCUUUAGCAUUUCUCGUAGGACAGGUCUGGUGUUAAUGAAAUCCCUCAGCUUUUGUUUGUCUGGAAAAGUGUGUCUCCUUCAUGUUUAAAGGAUAUUUUAGCUGGAUAUACUACUCUAAGCAACCCAGUGAUUCCAUGGAAAGCAGAAAGAAGGACAUAAAGAAACGGAUACUUGGUGACAUCUUUGACUCACUGGAUCAAACCUUGCCUGAAGCUCACAUUUCUGAAAUUUCCAGAUACAAGAACAAAUACUUCCUCUUUAUUGUUUUACUAGAUUUGAGACAAGCUUUAAGUUUCUCAGACUCUUCCUCUUCCUAACAGAUUUAUCAGAAGCUGAAAGCUCUGAUCUUGUUGGGAUGCGGAUCGUGUCAGGAGAAGGCUUACUUUGCACGCUUUUCUUAGUCUGGUUGCCUAACUCAAGAACCUCGGCAUGGCUCUGUUACUUCUCUACUCAGACAAGCAUCCCUGCAGACACUCACUAGGCUAACUCUGUCUUUAUUUUUAGAAUUAGACCUUUACGAGAAGCACAGUUUUGUCUUCAGUUUCCUCUCCCCCCACCCGGAAUGGCCUGAGCCGAAGCCAGCUCCCUCCGAGAAGUCAUUACCGCCUGACUUGCGUUUGAUAUUUAGACACCUUGGUCACAACAUCUUGCAUUCUCUCGGGAUGCUGAUUUCUAACUGCUCUUUGGCCUUUCCUGCAUUGGUCCUCCUCAGGCAGGGGAUCCCUGCUCUUCUAUAUUAGUGAGAAAACCAAGGCUCAGAGAAACUGUGGAUUUUCUAAGGAUGCUGGCUCCCCGUCCCCUGUCCACCAUGAGUCAAAGCAAUGUGAGUCCCUCACCAGAUGCAACUGCCCAGUCUUGGACUUUCCAGUGACCAGAAUCAUGAGCCAAAUAAACCUCUUUUCUUUAUGAAU
RNAcentral lists this long non-coding RNA (1019 nucleotides) under Homo sapiens (human). Its description in RNAcentral is "SMAD3 divergent transcript". The record is from RNAcentral. Lineage: Eukaryota; Metazoa; Chordata; Mammalia; Primates; Hominidae.